Molecule: long non-coding RNA, 8529 nt
Organism: Symphalangus syndactylus (siamang)
Lineage: Eukaryota; Metazoa; Chordata; Mammalia; Primates; Hylobatidae
Source: RefSeq, a predicted model, not a curated record
UAGAAAGCACAUAGAACCAAAACAAACCGUAAUAAUUCCGACGGAAAAACAGCGAGAAAAGAAACCGAAAUGAAACUGACACUAAGCAAACCGUACAGAGAAUUAGCCCUACAGAUCGCAGGGAUUAAAGAGCGCUUCAGGGGCCAAGAGCCAUCUGUGUCCGGGAAAUGAGCAUUGGUGCCACCAGGAAACUGUCCGCUAGGGCUCGGCACUACUAAGGACCUCGCUAACAAUAAUCUGGCGGCGCUGGGACUCAGCAAGAACAGACACCCAGCGGAUUGCCCUGGUGAUACCAAACAUGUCCAUAAAUGGUGCUGCUAGAAAGAAACUGCGGGCUCUUAGAUAGGACUCCUGUCUGGAGAAAUGAGCUGACUGUGUUUAAGUGUGUUGUGACAGAAAAAUGUGUUGUGGCAUCUUACUGUGUUUUAAGUCCUUUAAUAUGUUUUAACCCGUUGUAAUGUGUUGUGAGAGAAAAAGCCCCGGCUAACGGUACUGUGGAAUUACUAGAGAGCACAGCGGCUGGGUGCAGUCACCGGUCUGCACCGUAAAAAGGGGUUCAGGAAGUUCCUACGAGACAUUAGCGUUGCUAGGACCCAGAAAGAGACAGCACAGAGAAUUUACGGGCCCCGAGAACGUGAAACGACCUGUUGGGCGCUAAGAACGGUGCACCAACUGAGAAAACGCCCAGUGGGCGCUACUGGCAAAAGUGCUGACCCAAAACCGACAGCUCCGCAUAAGAAGCGGAGUCGCCAGACAGAACCCGGAAACUGGCAGCAGCAAGGCUGAGACCGAGAUCGGCUCCCCGCGUCCUGAGCAUGCAAGUCAAGGAGCACGAAGCUGAGACAUUUAAAAUCAGUAGAAAAAAAUACAUAACAUUUGAAUAGAAAUACAAUUUAAAAAUAAUAGAAGCCUAAAAUGCAAAUAGAAAUGAAAGGCAAGCACAUCGGUAAUGUCGUUCUCAGAGCAAGACACAAAAAGACAAUUAAAAAACAAGCAAAAAUUACUGAGAACCAUUCCUACAAAGAAGAAAUUACAAAUGUUUGUAAUGCAGUCCUACGACUAGGAUAUCCCUAUCCGAUCUAAACCGGUACAUGUUACACCUAAGUCUAAAUAUCCUACCAAAUUAAAUAAAUAAAUAAAUAAAUAACAGUCAUGGUUAAACCUGUUUAGCUUAGACUAUAAAAUGGUAGAAAAAAAAGUCGCUUUCGGCGGGACUUGCGGUUGUCAAACGGGGCUUGGCAAAACUGAAAAAUCGCGUUUGCCCGCAUUUCCUGAUUUCCAGGGGAGUUUAAAAAACACAAGCCUAGCUAAGGCGGGACCCGCUAUUGUGAAACCAAACUUAGUAUAAGAGCUCCCAGGCCCUGCUAAACUGGUCAUCGCCAAGCCAAAAAAAAAAUCGCAUUCGCUGGUGCCCAGAUUACAGGAGUUAAACGUCUCCUGCGCAGCUAAAGCGGAGCUUACUAGUAGGAAACCAGAACUUGCAAUGACUAAGAAACUUGAGGCAGAGCUAACCCGGGGUUGUUAGGAUUAGAGUUCCGAGGCUACAGGAAAACCGGAAUUGCUGAGAUCUGAGUCACAGGGUGACUCAGCCUCGUUACGAUGAAACAGUAACUUCCUACUACCCAGAAAUCGCAGCCAGGGCCAGACCGGUGUUUGUCCUAAGUCGGAACUUGCUUGGGCUGAGAAAUCAUAUUGUGACUAUUCCACGACUUGAACAAGGGGUAGAAAUCGCAGGCACCACGAAAUAGAAACUUGCUAGGACCAAGAAGCCAACGACGCCCGAAACCGUGGGGUCCUGUCACAGAAACCCCAGCAGCGCAGCCACCGGACUGGGUCUGGAGGCCGAGCCGGAGUCCGUGCGGCGGCGCUGGGAAGAGAUGGCGCCCCGGCAGCUCCCCUGCCACCGGCCCCGAGGAGCGGCUGGCUCCCCCAGCCCAGCGCCGCCGCCGCCCGGUAACUCCAGGCUCCGCGCAACUGGGGCAGCUGCGACUCCGAAUCCCUCACAUCUGCAACCUGGGUGCUGCGGCCACUGAGAAAAUGGAGGCGCAGACCGACGAGCUGUGCCGCGACCAAGACACCUCGGCUGGCGAAGUGGCGGUGCCGGGAGCCUGCGAGUGACGCCAGCCGCCGGGGUUGUCAAGGUCAACAUUCGUUUUGGCGCAGCCAAUGGCGCCGUCACCAGGAAACCAUCGACUCUGAGAAAAAACAGAAGUUCGGCCACGGAGAAACUCCGUACGACAAGGGCUGUGACAGAAAAACCGCCGACUCCGUGCCACUGGCAAAACAGCCAAUGGAAACGCCGGGCGUUGCGACCGUGACACCGGCACUAGAGGGUCUUGGAUGGAGAAAGCGGCGCACGGACACCAGGAAACUAUGUGUAGCACAACUAGCAGAAAACCGUCUGGUCGGCCAUCCGGGAGAAAGUGCGGAUCAGAAACAGGCGACUUCGUGCUGAGAAUUGCUUCAACCCAGGAGGCGGAGGUUGCAGUGAGCCAAGAUGGCACCACUGCACUCCAGGCUGGGCAACAGAGCAAGACUCCAUCUCAAACAAAACAAAACGACAUGAGAGAAAAACGUCAAUCUGUACACCUCUUUAUGACAGAACAACACAGAAAGAGAAAGACAAAGAAAAGACUACUCUAGGAGGAAAUGGAUGAAACAAUAUGAUUCUUACCACAAAGUACCAGAAAGUACACCAGAGUCAAUACACCAGCACCGGUCACACAAAUCCUUUUCUCCCAUCAGUCAAGAUUUUGGACAGGAAAAAUGAACAAAGAGUGAUAUUUACUGUCUACUUGACCAAAUUCCACAGAGAGGGGCUUGGAAUCUGACUGGCAUCCUCAUUAUCUUUGCAAUACAGAUUGAAUUAUUGGGGAUUCAGACAGCAGAGGAAAAAAGUUAAAGCAUGUAAGGUGAGUAACAAUUGUCACUUCCUGACGGGACCAGGAACAUCAGGAUAUUUGGAGAAUCUUAACAAAAGAAGAAUUCAUCCAAAUCUCUAGGUAUUGCAGGUGAAGUAUGAUAGCAAGAUCCUGGUUUGGUUUCCUAGCAUCUGGACGCUUUUAAAAGUCUUUUGAGAUUCCUUAUGAAAAUGUCCAGGUAAGUCAACUUAAAGAGAGCCUACACUGCAGCAUAAGUUCCUAGUUAUCAUUGCUGAAGUAAAGUUAUCAUUGCUGAGAGUACCAUAUCAUCCUCUGGAGAAACUGAACUUCUAUAGAGUUAGUUCUACUUAUAGUGCAAAACAGUGCUUCAAGUUAGAGUCAGCAUAUUUACUGAUUCUAUGCAGUGACCAGUGCUAUGUUUCUCCAGAUUUGUCAAAUUAUACCUUUUCCUUUAAUCGGUGUGGGCUCAUAGUUGUCACAAUUUGUGUACUAGGGGUGAGAGAAACUGUAGUUCUUCUCUCUAAAGAGCUCGAAUUUUGUCUGACCUAGUUUUAUUUUUCUUUCUUUCCUUUUUUUGUUUUUUCGGUGUUUCUUUGUUACCCAGGCUGGAGUGCAAUGGCGCGAUCUCGGCUCACUGCAACAUCCACCUCCCCAGUUCAAGAGAGUCUCCCGCCUCAGCCUCCCAAGUAGCUGAGAUUACAGGCAUGCACCACCACGCCUGGCUAAUUUUGUAUUUUUUAGUAGACACAGGGUUUCUCCAUGUUGGUCAGGCUGGUCUCAAACUCCUGACCUCAGGUGAUCCACCUGCCUCAGCCUCCCAAAGUGCAGGGAUUACAGGUGUUAACCAUGGUGCCCGGCCCUGUCUAACCUACUUUUCAAAACCAAAAAGAUGAGCAAUAAGAGGGCAGUUAAUUAGCAAGAACUCCUUCCCUAAGAUCUCAUUCUAAGGUUGGGAGAUAGGACAACAGACAGGAAGAAAGAUGUCAGAAAAAUACAUUUAAGAGAAAAAUGUUCUUUUGGCAGGCCUAAGAGAUUUCCUAUUAGAGUGUGUUAAGGGUCUCUCCUAGCAUCUUCAGAUUGUUCUGUCAUCACCACCAGUGUUUUCUGAAAGCUUCCUCCCUUUCCCACCCCCUCCCUCCCACUCCAGAAAAACCACACAUAAGGUUAAGCCUCCUAUCCAGUGUCUCCUGGAAGUCUGAGGAAGUCACAGGUGCCUCUGUGGUCUGGGGAUCCCAGUCUUGGAAUGAGAGUGAGUUCUGGGACAAAGGUGAAAUCAGACAUGGUAAAUCAGAUACUUAGCCUGUUGUAGGCUGGUGGUUUAAAUGUUAGGAUUCUGGCAUGAUCUUGCUGUGGUUCAAAUUUCUCUCCUCUUUGACUUUGAGAAGUUAGUUUAAUCCUUGUGUUUCAUUUCCAUUGUUAGUAAAACCAGAUAUAAUUGCAGUACUCAUUAUAUCAGUGAGGUUAAUGGGUAUCCUUCCUUAAGCAUAGUCUAGCACCAUUUAAAAUAAUAAACAUUAACUAGGAUUUUAUUCUAAUUACUCCUUUCCAGCAAUUCUAGGGGCUAUGUUUUCCCCAGUAUUAGUUCUAUAGUGCGUGAAAGCUCAGACUUUCUUCUCUGGAAGCUACUUUCUAAACCCCUUUCACCCUACCUCUUUAUUAACUAAGAUAUCCACCUUACCCUUUCCAUCUUUUCCUGUCACCAACAUUCUCUGUGGCUGUAUCAUGUCCGGAAAAUAAUCAUCAGGCAUUUCACAGUAAAUUGUAAGAGCAUUGCUAGUGUUCACAUGUUUAAUCACGGGAUGAUACUUCUGCUAUCUCAUCCUCAAUUCUGAUACCUCCAGUUCGUGUUUGCUUAUGAAACAGGGACCACUUGAGGGACAGAUAAGUUUGUUACAUGUUGUAGGCACUGAUGUGCUUUUAUUUAAAUACAUUGAUUUUCUGGUUUUAUCGUUUUUCUCAUAGUUGUCACCAACUUGUGGGCUCAUAAUUGUUACCAACUUGUGAAGUAGGGGUGAGAGAAACUGUGGUACUUCUCUCUAAAUAGCUUGAAUUUUGUCUGACCUAGUUUUCAAAAGCAAAAAAAAUGAGCAAUAACAGUGCAGUUAAUUAGUAAGACCUCCUUACCUAAGAUCUCAUUCUAAGGUCUGGGAGAUAGGACAACAGACAGGAAGAGGGGUGUCAGAAAAAUACAUUUACGAGAGAAACGUUCGGCCAGGCACCAUGGCUCAUGUCUGUAAUCCCAGCACUUUGGGAGGCCAAGGCGGGUGGAUCACGAGGUCAAGAGAUCAAGAGCAUCUAAAAAUACAAAAUUAGCUUGGUGUGGUGGUGCGCACCUGUAAUCCCAGCUACUCUGGAGGCUAAGGCAGGAGAAUCACUUGAACCAGGGAGGCGGAGGUUGCAGUGAGCCAAGAUGGUGCCACUGCACUCCAGCCUGGUGACAGAGCAAGACUCCGUCUUAAGAAAGAGAGAGAGAGAGAGAAAUGUUCUUUUGGCAGGCCUAAGACCCUAAGGGAAUACAUGUUAAAAAAAAAAUGGUGGGGGAUAAAGAGAAAAAUCAUUAAAGAUGAAAAAUUGCCAGAAAUUCCCUUGUGUACUUUUCCCCUUGCCUCUUACUUUCUGGUUUCUGAAACAAUAACUGAUCAAUGGGGUGUGCUGAGGGAGUAGAGAAAGAAUGAAUAGCCCUGAAUGCACUGAUAAUAGACUGCUUGCCAAUAACCACUGAUAGAGUUUGAAUACAAUUCUACAAUGGGAAAAAUAUUUUUAAACAUAUGUCUGAUGAAGGAUUGCUAUCCAGAAUAAAUUAACACUUUCUAAAACUCAUCAUCAAAAAACAAACAACCCAUUUCAAAAACAGGCAGAGGACUUGAAUAGACAUUUCUCCAAAAAAGACAUACAAAUGGCCAAUAGCACAUGAAAGAAAAAUGUCCAGCAUCCCUAAUUCUUAGGGAAAUGCAAAUCAAAACUACAAUGAGAUACAGGUACCACUGCACAUCCGCUAGGAUGGCUACUAUUAAAAAAACAAAAGAUAACAAGAGUUGGCAAGGAUACAAGGAGUUUGGAACCCCUAUGUAUGCACUGUUGUAGGCAUGUAAAUUGGUACAGCCAAUGUAGAAAACAGAACCUUCCUCAACAAAUUAAAAAUAGAAUUACCAUAUGACCCAGCAAUUUCACUUCUGGACAUAUACUCAAAAUAAUUUAAGGCAGAGUCUCAGGAAGAUAUUUGUACACCCAGGUUCAUAGCAGCAUUAUGCAUAAUAGCAAAGAUGAAGAAGCAACUCAAGUGUCCAUUCACAUAUGAAAGGAUAAGCAAGACAUGGUACAUAUAGACAGUCAGCCUUUAAAAAGAGGGAAAUGCUAACAGGCUACAUCACAGAUGAACCUAAGGGACAUUAUGCUAAACGAAAUAAGCCAGUCACAAAAAGACAAAUACUGUAUGAUUCCACUUACAUGGGGUACUUAGGGUAGUCAACAUCAUAGACACAAUGUAGAAUGGUGGUUGCCAGGGAUGGGGGAGAGGAAAGUGGGGAGUUAUUCUUUAAAGGAUACAGAGUUUCACUUUUAGAAGACACAAAGAGUUGUGGAGAUGGAUGAUGACAAUUGUUGCAAAGCAUUAUGAACUGUAGGCUUAAUGGUUAAGAUGGUAAAUUUUAUGUGUAUUUUACAGAGAGAGAGAGAGAACUGGGCACUCGCUCUUGCAUUCUCUUCACUAACAUCCCAAAUGUUCAUUUAUAGAUAGUCGCCCAAAGCGUUUUUCUCCUGGCAGAACAGAAUUCCAGUCUCUGCUCAGGAGUAGCAAUCUGAUUUGGGGAAAUGAUAAACUUUGUAUAAACCAGAGUCCCCCACAACAGCUUUCUCUUCAUAGGCCCAGUACUAAUUUUUUUUUUCAUCCCCUGAGACAAACUAUUUGACUCUGGAUAGUUUUCACAUGAGAUGAUAGAAUUUGAUGUUAAUGUCAUUAAUUCCAUUUUCAUAUGCAAUUUGCUUCUAGGAUUAAUGUCACCAGCCAGGUUCCUAACCUAUGUGGAACACGCAGGGCCAGAAGAGUAUAAAAUUGCAAAAGCUGGUGGCUCCUGAGUCCAAGAGUUCCUGGUUUUCCUGGACACAAGCGAUAGCGCAGCACUUUCUUCCCCAUGUGCCAGAGGCCUGUGGUUCUGCAGAAGAGGACCGGAAACCCCAGACACUGCAAGCCCUGAGCUCAGUAUAUUCUGGGGCCUGUCCUCUCACUUUCUAUUUCUUGUGUGGCCCUCAUACUCGUGCCAGCUAUCCUGGAACAGCCAAGAAUUCAAUUGUGACCUGCUUCCUCCCUCAACCUCUUCUCCCCAACCUCCCCAUCACACUUAUUCUUUGGGAAGAUUUGUAAAAAUUAAGGUUAUUAUAUCCAUGUAACUUUCUGUAUUUCUUUUAAACUCCUUGUGCUACUAAGUCACACGGCUUUGACUCCUGGAUCUAAAAAAGUCACCAACUCUGGCUAAAUCUUAAACAUUGACAGCAAUUGAAGCCUCAUCUUCAGACCUAGGAGAAGAUGAAAAUCAGAGUAAGCUGCAGUCAUGAGACAUGGGUCCAGAAAUUAAAACUCUUCAACCCCUCUAGUCCCAGGGACUAUUGCAGAAGAAGUGGGUGUGUGAGCUUGUAAGGAUCCAUUUUAAGAGAUAAAAUUAGUUCAGAGUUUCUCUAUAAAUUAAACAGUUGCAUUUGUUGUUGUUUUGAGACAGUCCAGUUAUGUCAUCCGAGCUGGAGUGCAGUGUCAUUAUCCUGGCUCACUGCAACCUCUGCCUGGCAAGACUCCUGGCACCUCAGCCUCCCAAGUAGCAGGGACUACGGGGGUGCACCACCAUGCUUGACUAAUUUUUGUAUUUUUAUAGAGACAAGGUUUCACCAUGUUGCCCAAGCUUGUCUCCAACUCCUGAGCUCAAGAUAGCCGCCUGCCUAGGCCUUCCAAAGUGCUGAGUUUACAGGCAUGAGCCACCGUGGCCAGCCUAUAAAUUAAACAUUAAUGUCAAAGGAACACUGAUGCAAGACAAGCAUGUGGGUCCCUGUGUCAGAUUAACAAUGUUUUCUUGGAGCAUUAACACAUUCUUUACUUAAAAAUUAUGAAAGGUUAUGAGAAGGUUUACAAAAAUUAUAUCUUAUUCUCAAGAUGAUGAAAAUUUAAUAGAUUUGUCUGUAAAAUUUAAUUGACUUCAUCCUGUCUUUAUUAGGUUUUAUUGUUUGGGAAAGUAAGUCUCAAAGAGUAAAGUUUUUGACUUUUUGUUUUUAAAAUAUUUGAGUUACCACUUUGACUAAAUGAGUGACUUAUUUUACAAUGACCUGUGAUGCUAUUUUGUGAUAUUGUGUUUUCAACCUUUGAUGUUUGACAAACUUUCCAAACUCUAAAUCUAAAUUCAGUGUUUUGGUCUCAUUAAUUUUUUUGACAUUACAUCCCCUGAAAUCCAAAGAGACAUAUUUGGCUUAUUGCUAUAAUAAAAUCAUCAUUAUCAAAUAUGAAAUGAUGUGUAACCUUCUUUGGCUUGUAUUUGUGUAAAUGUGUUAUUAGUAUGUGUUCCAAAAUUGUAUGAAAUUCUUGUGAUUCUGAUAUGUCUUAGACUAUGUUAUCAGAACUAAUUAUGAUUAUUAUAUUAAACUGUUAUGUGCCAUAGAUAUAACCAAA